CGUGGGUGACCUGCCCUCGGCACCGGGAUAGCCCGGGGAAACCCGGAUUAAUACCGGAUGGCCCUUCCGCUCCUCGGAGCGGUCGGAAAAGGUAGCUUCGGCCUCCGGCCGAGGAUGGGCCCGCGGCGGAUUAGCUGGUUGGUGAGGUAACGGCUCACCAAGGCUCCGAUCCGUAGCUGGUCUGAGAGGACGAUCAGCCACACUGGGACUGAGACACGGCCCAGACCCCUACGGGAGGCAGCAGUAGGGAAUCUUGCGCAAUGGGCGAAAGCCUGACGCAGCGACGCCGCGUGCGGGAAGACGGCCUUCGGGUUGUAAACCGCUUUCAGGAGGGACGAAGCCACUCGGGUGAAUAGCCCAGAGGGUGACGGUACCUCCAGAAGAAGCCCCGGCUAACUACGUGCCAGCAGCCGCGGUAAUACGUAGGGGGCAAGCGUUGUCCGGAUUUAUUGGGCGUAAAGCGCGUGUAGGCGGCCAGGUAGGUCGAUUGUGAAAAUUGGAGGCUCAACCUCCAGACGUCGAUCGAAACCGUCUGGCUAGAGUCCGGAAGAGGAGAAUGGAAUUCCUGGUGUAGCGGUGAAAUGCGCAGAUAUCAGAAGAACACCGAUGGC
This 611-nucleotide ribosomal RNA is filed under the name uncultured bacterium. Its description in RNAcentral is "bacterial SSU rRNA". It matches the Rfam family "Bacterial small subunit ribosomal RNA", at positions 116 to 716 of the family's 1533-position model. The record is from RNAcentral.